AACGCACAUUGCGCCCCUUGGUAUUCCGAGGGGCAUGCCUGUUCGAGCGUCAUUACACCCCUCAAGCACUGCUUGGUCUUGGGCUCCGCCGCUAACCCGGCGGGCCUUAAAACGAGUGGCGGCGCCAUCAGGCUCUGAGCGUAGUAAAUUUCCUCGCUACGGAGUCCUGGUGACGGUGGUCACCAACCCCCAACUUUCUAAGUUUGACCUCGGAUCAGGUAGGGAUACCCGCUGAACUUAA
This 241-nucleotide unclassified non-coding RNA is filed under the name uncultured fungus. RNAcentral describes it as "partial contains 5.8S ribosomal RNA, internal transcribed spacer 2, and large subunit ribosomal RNA". The stretch from base 1 to 52 matches the Rfam family "5.8S ribosomal RNA", at positions 103 to 154 of the family's 154-position model. Lineage: Eukaryota; Fungi. The record is from RNAcentral.